UAAAUUAAAAUUAUUAAUAUUUUUAUUUUUUUUUGAUUUUUUAUAAAAGUAAUUUAUUUAUUUAGAGUUUUAGUAUUUAGUAAAAAUUAAUUUAUAGAUUUAUAGUUUAAUAGUAUUGUAAAAGAAUUAAUUAAAUUUUUAAAAGAAUAUUUUUAGUACCUUUUGUAUCAGGGUUGAUUAAAAUUUUUAAUUUUUUUUUAAUUUCUCAAAAUUUAUAGAGUUAAUUUUAUUAUUAAUUUAUUGUGUUAUAAAUAUUUAAAAAAUAAUAUUAGUUUUGAAAUUUAAUUCGUUAUAUUAUAUUUAGUUAUUUAGAUUUAAAUUUAAUUUAAAAUUUUAAAAGUUAUAUUGAUUUUUUAUAUUAAUAUUUUAAAUUUAAAUUAUUUUAGGGAUAAGCUUGAAAUUUUUAUAUAAUAAUUUAUUUAUUUUAAUAAUUUAUAGGAAUAGAAAUUUUUAUUUAAGUUUGUAAAAAUUUAUUAUUUAUUUAUUUUUAAUUUAUUAUAAAUUUAUUUAUUUUUUAUAUUAAAUUUUAUUAAUUAAUAUUUAAUUAAUAGUAAUAAUGAUUAAAUUAGUAUAAUUUUUAUUUAUAAAUUAUGAAUUCGGCAAAAAUUAUUUUCAUCUGUUUAACAAAAACAUUGUAUUAAGUUUAAUUUAAUAUAGGAUCUGCUCAAUGAUUUAUUAAAUAGCUGCAGUAUUUUGACUGUGCAAAGGUAGCAUAAUAAUUAGUCUUUUAAUUGAGGACUUGUAUGAAAGAUUUGAUGAGAAAUAAACUUUAUUAUUUAUAUAAUUAAAAUUUUAUUUUUAAGUAAAAAAGCUUAAAUUAUUUAAAGGGACGAUAAGACCCUAUAAAACUUUAUAAAUAUUAAUUUUGAUUUUUUUGGAUUUAUAAAUAUUUUAAUUUUAUUAUUUAUUUUAUUGGGGUGAUAAAAAAAAUUAUUAAACUUUUUUUAAAAUUUUACAUUAUUUAAUGAGUAUUUGAAUUAAAAUUUUUAAUUAAAGGAAAAAGUUACUUUAGGGAUAACAGCGUAAUUAAUUUUUUAAGUUCAAAUUUAAAAAUUAGUUUGCGACCUCGAUGUUGAAUUAAGAUUAAUCUUAGGUGCAAAAUUUUAAGUAUUAGGUCUGUUCGACCUUUAAAUUCUUACAUGAUUUGAGUUCAAACCGGUGUAAGCCAGGUUGGUUUCUAUCUUUUAAAAAAUAAAUUAUUUUAGUACGAAAGGAUUAAAUAAUUAAAUUAAAUUUUUAUUAAAUGAAUUAAAUUA
This 1256-nucleotide ribosomal RNA is filed under the name Myzus persicae (green peach aphid). RNAcentral's name for it is "16S ribosomal RNA". Lineage: Eukaryota; Metazoa; Arthropoda; Insecta; Hemiptera; Aphididae. The record is from RNAcentral.